GAUUAACGCUAGCGGCAGGCCUAAUACAUGCAAGUCGAGGGGCAGCAGGGUGUAGCAAUACAUCGCUGGCGACCGGCGCACGGGUGCGUAACACGUAUGCAACCUACCUUUAACUGGGGAAUAGCCCUCCGAAAGGAGGAUUAACACCGCAUAACAUCACGAGACGGCAUCGCCUUGUGAUCAAACCUCCGGGGGUUAAANAUGGGCAUGCGUCCGAUUAGCUAGUUGGCGGGUAACGGCCCACCAAGGCGACGAUCGGUAGGGGGUCUGAGAGGAUGAUCCCCCANACUGGUACUGAGACACGGACCAGACUCCUACGGGAGGCAGCAGUAAGGAAUAUUGGACAAUGGUCGCAAGACUGAUCCAGCCAUGCCGCGUGCAGGAUGAACGAUCUAUGAUCUGUAAACUGCUUUUGUUCGGGAAUAAACCCCUUNACGUGUGGAGGGCUGAAUGUACCGAAAGAAUAAGGGUCGGNUAACUUCGUGCCAGCAGCCGUA
Molecule: ribosomal RNA, 497 nt
Filed under: uncultured bacterium
Lineage: Bacteria
Description: bacterial SSU rRNA
Rfam family: Bacterial small subunit ribosomal RNA
Source: RNAcentral